AUGGGGGAUGUGCACAUAGGAGAGACAGAAGAGGGGAGAAAAAGAAGUGAAAGUUGUGGGAAGGAGGUAAAAGAAGAGAAUGAAUUCUCUCUUCAGCUGAGGAAGUGGAAGAGUGAGAAGAGCUUCCAGAGUCCAGCCUAUUGGAGCCACCAGCGGAAUGAGCACAGACCCCAGAGGAGCAGAAGACCCAUCCGGUGAAGCCUGACCUGAAUUCCUGACUAACAAGUGGCUUAACAAGUGGAAUUUUGGGCUUGCUGAAGAGGAAGAAAGAGGAGGAAGAGGAGAAGGAAAGUGUAAUUAACAAGAAAAAACUAACACCUUGAAUAUUUAACAGAAUGUCAGCUAGUCGCCUGUAAUUCAGUCACUGUUCUCUACAUAGCUAAACUUUUAGUAAUAAUGUAGGUAUUCCCUGGCCAAGAGAAACAUAGAAUGUGUGUGUGUGUAUAACAGAAGCAAAUGAAAAGAAAACAAAAUAAAGGACAUUCUGGAGUCAGGGAGUAAAUAUUUCAUUUUAGAGCACAGCAUGUUUUAAUGGAAUAUGGUGUCUAGGGCUGGAGAAGAAAUCACAAAUAUACUUAUUUAUAAUUACUUAUUAUUUUUACAAACUCUGCUUACUAAAAAUUAUUUGAAACAGCUCACAUUUAUCCAACAAACACUGCUGAUGCCUCAUAUACGCUUUGCCUCAAUUUGUUGAGAGUAGGUACGGAGCAUGAGUCAGAAUUCGUAAAGGCAAGUAUAAGGAAUGUGAUCGCUAGUAGGAGGCGAUUCUCUUUCAACUUCCUAAGUUUCUGUAUGUCUUGUGAUAGGUAGAGAAUACCUUGGUUGUGGAUUAUCCUUUUGAGGAUAUUUGCAUUAUCGACUAGCCUUGGGAGAGAAAAAGGGAGAUACAGAAAGACAGAGAGGAUAGUUCUCUCAAGAGCAAUGGACCAGCAUGCUUACUGCCUAUUAUAAAGUAUUUGAGUUCCCUAAGCUCAGGAUUUUUUUCUCUUAAACAAAACCCACAGUGGCUUGGUUUUCUUCAAGUUACCAUGUGGAAACUGGGGCUUGGGGAAUGGAUGCAAUUGCUGUAAUAAACAGUCCCAUAACUGUCAGUAAUAAAUAGUUCUACAUCUCUGGCCCAUGGAUUUCGUAGCUUUAUCCAACACCCAUAAAAAGGUGUAAGUAAUUUCUUGGUUUGCGUGUGGGGUAAAUUUUCAGACCUUUCACAAAUUUUGCGAUUUGCUUUGAGUAUUUGCACUUUAUUCAGACAAAUACUUGAGCCAAACUAGUAUUUCCUCAAGGUAAAAUAUCUUCUGUCAUAUUUAAUUUUCCUGUUAAAUUUAAACUCAAAAACCUCCUCAGGGGAAAAUGAGAAAAGGAUAUUGUAAAAGAAAGAAGAGUCAAAAUGGAGUGAUAAGAAUACCAAAAAUAAGCUGGGUGCAGUGGCUCAUGCCUGUAAUUCCAGCACUUGAGGUGGCCAAGGUGGGGGGAGGGUCACUUGAGGCCAGGAGUUCAAGACCAGCCUGGGCAACAUAGCAAGACCCCAUCUCUAUUAAAAAAAAAAGUAAAAAACAGACCAAAAAAAGUACCAAAAAUAAUGAAAAACAAAAAAUAGUUCAAAGAAAAGCAUAGGGUAUAGGCCUUAAAGUUUUAAAAAUGUGUUUAGACAAAUGUUGUUUAAAAGUGUUUUAGAGUCAUCCAAUGGUUAUGCUAAUAGACAUACUUUUGUGGAAAAUAUGGAAAAGGUUUAGUUUAUUGAGAGAGUGGUGGUUGACUAUUCUUGACCAAUUUUUAAAUGGCAAAGUUUUAUUAUAAUUUAAGAAUGGAGACAGACAGCUGUGAAUAACUCAAUUGAAAUGUAAGCUGAUGAAAGAAGAAGGAUAUAGACAUUUUUCUAGUGUUCGAAUUAUGCAGUGCUUGCCCUGAAUACUGCUGAACUCACCACUUGGAAGGGAAGACUAAUCUUAUUUGGAACAUGCCAUUGUUUAGUAUGUAAUUUCUCACUAUUUCUUAAUUUAAAGGUGUCAGUGAAAACUGCAAACUCAGUUAUUUAAAUAUCUGACGCUUUUGAAAAUCCAGCUACCUUUAUCCAUUAGACAAAAUAGAUUUAUUUAUGAUUCUAUUAAUUACAUUUUAAUAAAAGUGAAGAUGAAAUAAAGUGGAACAAACUGAAAGAUAAAUCAUGGUGUUAGUGAAUCAUUUUUAACUACACUAUAUAUUGAAUAAACACAAUGCACCAUGGCUGAUUCAAAAGUACUACAUAUAGUGAUUUUUAAAAAAAUCGUGGUAUAAGUAAGGUAGCUUCCACUUAGAAGAAAAGUGUCACUGAUUUCUCAAUCAGCUGAGAACACCCACAAGGAUAAUCAGAGGCAACUCUUGUUGUUAAACAUGAACUCAAAAUACAUCUAAAUCAAGUAAUCAGUCUGUUGAUUAAAAAGUUAAAAGAAAAUGCCUUAUAGAAAAAUAUAAGAUGAUCUAAAAAUAUCAUAUGUAAUGAAGGAAGUAAUAACACAUUCGAAAUUCCUUACCCAAACCUUUCAGCAGCAUUCAGCAUGACAGGACAAUAUGAUUUUCAAUUUCAUAAAUUUAUGGUUGCUAGCAUCUUUCAUCUGGAAUUCUUAGUUAUCUCUUCAGAGUUGAAUGAAUUGAAUCAGAUUAAUCAGCAUUUACUGAGUGUGUAAGGUACUGUGUUUCCUUGCUGGGGGCACAGAAAGGUGACGGCUGCAAAGAAAAAGAAUAAACCAGCAAGCUUACAACCUAUUAGGGAUGUAAGGCUAAAAAGAAUAAUAAUAAAGAUGUAGAUAAUAGGUCAAGUGAAGACUGGAAAAAAAUUCCACCAGAUAGGAUGUGAUUCAUUGCCAAAAGAAUUUUGCAAACAGUAAUUGCUGGAAUUCAAAAAGGAGAAACUACAGUAGACUAGGGUGGUCUGAAAAGGCAUCAAGAGCCAAAUGGGAUUUGAUCUGGGAUUGAAGGAUGGUGAAAUCUAGCUGCAUGAAGAAUGCAAAGAUCAAGACAGAGGUUGGCAAACUGCUGUGUGGGGGCCAAAUCCCAAUUGUUUUUCUAUAGCUGCAGAACCAAAAAUGGAUUGUACAUUUUUAAAUUGUUAAAAAAACAAAGAAUAUUUCAUAGCACUGAGAAGUCUAUGAAAUAUAAAUUUUAAUGUUCAUAAAAAGUUUUAUUGGGACACAGCCACUGCCCAGUUUAUGGCUGCUUUCUUACUACAAUGGCAGUGUUGAGUAGUUGUGACAGAGACCAAAUGGCUUGCAAAGCCUAAUAUUUACUAUGUGCCUCUUUGCUGACAAAGUUUGCCAACUGUUGAUGUAAGAGAAUAAUGGGAAAUGAUCGUGGAAAGAAUGUUGGCAGGCCUAUAAAUACACCAGGAGGCCACUGAAAGCUUUGACUAGAGGAGGAAGCCCAUUCACAAAUUGUUUCUGCUUCCUAUACACAUCACCUGGGCUUGCAAAUGUUUGUUAAACCAACAAAUGAACCAGCAUUUUCAGAUUCCUAAGUCACUUGUUGCUUUAUAUCU
Callithrix jacchus (white-tufted-ear marmoset) is the source of this 3508-nucleotide long non-coding RNA. The record is from Ensembl. Lineage: Eukaryota; Metazoa; Chordata; Mammalia; Primates; Cebidae.